This 493-nucleotide ribosomal RNA is filed under the name uncultured Corynebacterium sp. Its description in RNAcentral is "partial 16S ribosomal RNA". The record is from RNAcentral. Lineage: Bacteria; Bacillati; Actinomycetota; Actinomycetes; Mycobacteriales; Corynebacteriaceae.
CACGUAGUUAGCCGGUGCUUCUUAUCUACCUACCGUCACCACCAAAGGUGGCUUCGUCGAUAGCGAAAGGAGUUUACAACCCGAAGGCCGUCAUCCCCCACGCGGCGUCGCUGCAUCAGGCUUGCGCCCAUUGUGCAAUAUUCCCCACUGCUGCCUCCCGUAGGAGUCUGGGCCGUAUCUCAGUCCCAAUGUGUCCGCACACCCUCUCAGGCCGGAUACCCGUCGCCGCCUUGGUUGGCCAUUACCCCACCAACAAGCUGAUAGGCCGCAGGCUCAUCCCACACCGCAAAAGCUUUCCACCACAACAUCCAAGAAGUGGUCCUAUAUGGUAUUAGACCCAGUUUCCCAAGCUUAUCCCAUAGUGCAGGGCAGAUCACCCACGUGUUACUCACCCGUUCGCCACUCGAGUACCUGUACAAGUACAGGCCUUUCCGUUCGACUUGCAUGUGUUAAGCACGCCGCCAGCGUUCAUCCUGAGCCAGGAUCAAACUCU